UACUUGUACCGACUGGAUGAGCAGCGAACGGGUGAGUAACGCGUGGGGAAUCUGCCUUUGAGCGGGGGACAACAUUUGGAAACGAAUGCUAAUACCGCAUAAAAACUUUAAACACAAGUUUUAAGUUUGAAAGAUGCAAUUGCAUCACUCAAAGAUGAUCCCGCGUUGUAUUAGCUAGUUGGUGAGGUAAAGGCUCACCAAGGCGAUGAUACAUAGCCGACCUGAGAGGGUGAUCGGCCACAUUGGGACUGAGACACGGCCCAAACUCCUACGGGAGGCAGCAGUAGGGAAUCUUCGGCAAUGGACGAAAGUCUGACCGAGCAACGCCGCGUGAGUGAAGAAGGUUUUCGGAUCGUAAAACUCUGUUGGUAGAGAAGAACGUUGGUGAGAGUGGAAAGCUCAUCAAGUGACGGUAACUACCCAGAAAGGGACGGCUAACUACGUGCCAGCAGCCGCGGUAAUACGUAGGUCCCGAGCGUUGUCCGGAUUUAUUGGGCGUAAAGCGAGCGCAGGUGGUUUAUUAAGUCUGGUGUAAAAGGCAGUGGCUCAACCAUUGUAUGCAUUGGAAACUGGUAGACUUGAGUGCAGGAGAGGAGAGUGGAAUUCCAUGUGUAGCGGUGAAAUGCGUAGAUAUAUGGAGGAACACCGGUGGCGAAAGCGGCUCUCUGGCCUGUAACUGACACUGAGGCUCGAAAGCGUGGGGAGCAAACAGGAUUAGAUACCCUGGUAGUCCACGCCGUAAACGAUGAGUGCUAGAUGUAGGGAGCUAUAAGUUCUCUGUAUCGCAGCUAACGCAAUAAGC
This 802-nucleotide ribosomal RNA is filed under the name Lactococcus lactis. Its description in RNAcentral is "bacterial SSU rRNA". It matches the Rfam family "Bacterial small subunit ribosomal RNA", at positions 77 to 865 of the family's 1533-position model. Lineage: Bacteria; Bacillati; Bacillota; Bacilli; Lactobacillales; Streptococcaceae. The record is from RNAcentral.